This 460-nucleotide ribosomal RNA is filed under the name uncultured bacterium. RNAcentral describes it as "partial 16S ribosomal RNA". It matches the Rfam family "Bacterial small subunit ribosomal RNA", at positions 338 to 795 of the family's 1533-position model. The record is from RNAcentral.
CCUACGGGAGACAGCAGUGAGGAAUAUUGGUCAAUGGGCGCGAGCCUGAACCAGCCAAGUAGCGUGAAGGAUGACUGCCCUACGGGUUGUAAACUUCUUUUAUAAAGGAAUAAAGUGAGGCACGUGUGCCUUUUUGUAUGUACUUUAUGAAUAAGGAUCGGCUAACUCCGUGCCAGCAGCCGGGGUAAUACGGAGGGUCCGAGCGUUAUCCGGAUUUAUUGGGGUUAAAGGGAGCGUAGAGGGGUUGUUAAGUCAGUUGUGAAAGUUUGCGGCUCAACCGGAAAAUUGCAAUUGAUACUGGCAGUCUUGAGUACAGUUGAGGUAGGCGGAAUUCGUGGUGUAGCGGUGAAAUGCUUAGAUAUCACGAAGAACACCGAUUGCGAAGGCAGCUUACUAAACUGCUACUGACAUUGAGGCUCGAAAGUGUGGGUAGCAAACAGGAUUAGAUACCCCUGUAGUC